UCAGGUUCCUGAAAACUGCGUCGACACUCUUUUGGGUCAGUCAGUUGUAAGAUUUAUCUGCAGCCGGUCUGCUCUGUCCAGCAUGCUGUCUGGCCACCUGGUGGAGUUUAUACUGGUCCAAGUGAAAUAAAAUAAAAUCAGCUUCAUAAUACACUCAGGUCUUCUACAUUCAGAAAUCUCCCAGUGGACUGAGAACACUAACUGAGUGUCGUCACAUCUCAUUACCUUCUCAUCAUUCUCUGUCUUCUAAACUAAAAUCUUAUAAAAUGGUGCACAAGACAGAAGAUUUCCAUUUGAUGUAGCGGAGCCAUAAAAACAUGGCAUCUUUUCAACAUACAGUAUUUCACUGCAUCAGCAGCUUUAAAAUGUUGGAACAAGCACAUCAGUGUUUCAAAAUGUAUAUAAACUAUGAAGGAAAUUUAAAGGGGACAGACAAGAAUAUAAUGCUUUAAAAGUCAAUUCAAAUUACCUUAAUAACCAGUGACAAUUGUUCAAGAUUCAUACAAAUAAAACAUUUUAUUUAUUCCAAUCCAAAUAUGACUCCAAAUAUUCAAUAAACUCUAUGUGCAAAAAUAGAACCAUUAAAAAAAAGGCAUGAAAACAGUUACAGUGCAAAGAACAUGUUAACCAUAAUAAUGUGUCCUGUAAGUGCAUGACAUGUUGAGUAAGUUGUAGAUAUUGUAUUAUUAUACCGUACAUACUCAUACCCACUUGGUAAUUAAUUUAUCUGACCUGUAUUAUAGUGUAUUAUAUUUUUGCUUAGUAUUUCUAUUCCUGUGUGCAGUGACGUGAUACUGAGCUGUUGUAACCAGAGUUUCCCCUCAGGGAUCAAUGAAGAUACAUACAUACAUACGGUAACAGUGGCAAGGAAAAACUUCCUUUAAGAGGCAGAAGGUUCUGAGAGAGAACGAGAGGCAGCUGUAACAAACAAAAAUAAAACAGUACAUUUCAGUUUAAAGUGCAUUUAAAUGACAAAAAUAAAAAAGGUUACAGCUCUUUGUGUUAAAGCUCCAUGUGGAGAAGUUAAAAAAAGUCUGGAAAUAAAGUCAAAACUCACAGCUGCAGUUACAGAACUGUAAAUACAAAAGGUAAAAACACAUUGCAUAUACAUGGAAUACGAGGUGGACAUGCUUCUCAGCAUUAGAUUUCAGGUCUGUCUGAUACGUGACAGAGUGUGAUGAGGCGUCCAAUCAAAACACUGGACAGCGUAAAGGUGAAGAACAGCGUUUCCUCCAUCAGGUCCAUUAUUUUGUAUAUCAGCUGUGUACUAUGACUCUUAUACCACGGCCACUUACUGAAGAAUAUAAAGGCAGCGUGUGUUUUCAUCAUUAGCAGCUUUUACACUUUGUUUGUUGUCAUUUUACUCAUGUGAUGUGUGUGAAGCAUCAAAGUUGUUGCUAUGGUUACCUGCUGGUAUGUUUGAUGUGCUCUGAUGGACAGUUUUAUUACCUGCCAGCCAAUGGGAAACUGGUAUUUUCUGUGUCCGUGGUAUAAAGUUGAAUUCUAACAGU
Siniperca chuatsi (mandarin fish) is the source of this 1511-nucleotide long non-coding RNA. RefSeq lists it as uncharacterized. The transcript has 2 exons. The record is from RefSeq and is a predicted model, not a curated record. NCBI's taxonomy places the organism in Eukaryota, Metazoa, Chordata, Actinopteri, Centrarchiformes, Sinipercidae.